Molecule: long non-coding RNA, 2040 nt
Organism: Alosa alosa (allis shad)
Lineage: Eukaryota; Metazoa; Chordata; Actinopteri; Clupeiformes; Clupeidae
Exons: 3
Source: RefSeq, a predicted model, not a curated record
UGCAAGUGGUAUUCAAAUGAAGAAGGAACCAUCCGUGUUCCAACAACAAACCACUGACUGUUUAUGCAGUAUAUAGCCUUGACCUCUAAGAAAAUAGGAAUGUCCUCACUUUCAAGGAAUUCAAUCACUUUCAACUCUCCAAUACGAUAAGGCACAUCAUUGCAGACAAGUGAUUUUGUUGUUUGCAUCACAAGGUCUUCCAGAGGCACAUCUAUCCUUUUCAGCAAUGCCUGUGAAGCACUAUUUGGUAGACACCCUCCUCUAAUUUCACUGCAGCUCCCAGUGUGGCUUACUUCUUUCCCCAAACUUUUCUCAUUAGCCUGCUCCCAGCACUGUCUCAUCUGAUGCCUUGUUGCCAGCGUCUUUGUGAUGUUUUUGAAGUUGCACACCACGGAUGACAGUUUUUUGAAGUACUGGUGUUUAGCUUCAAAUCGCAUGCAUGAGAGGUAGACUAGUGGCCCAUAGAGGGUAAUUAAUUGUGGAUAAUGCACAAUGUAGUGCAUCUUUGGAAUGGACAGAUUCUCAAAAAGAUCUUUCUUUUCUCCAAAUAUGGCAUCCAUGAUCUUCUGACAGCUGGUGCCAUUAUGAUAUCCACAACCUCACGUAGCAACAGGUAGCAGUCCCAGCACUUGUUAGGCACAAUCAAGGGACCAAUCAAAAGAGGUAGAAGGCGAAACAGAGUCCACUUCUCAGAGGCACUCCCAGAGAGCUGACCACCACUUCUCAGCAUCCUCUCUGUAAUGGGUUGAGGCUGGGAUGUUUUAUUAUUUCAACCAUAUUGGUAGUUUUCAAUUUCAUAGUUCAACUGACCAAGAGUUAGUAUCCUAUCCCUUAUCAUUUUCUUCAAGAUGUGUUUGAGAACAAAAAGGAUCACACCCUCUAGAACAUCAUGCAUUAGAUCAGGAGGAAAGAGGUGCAUCAUUAAAGCUGGGGUGUAGUUUAGACUGGCAAAGCAACAUGGUCGAAUCACACCAUACACUAAACCAUUUUCAGGAUCUUCUUCCACAGCCCUGAGGUGAUAACUGUAGUUGUUCCCAUCCCUCAUCACAUACUCUUCUUCUCUGAACUUUGCCCUCACUUCCUCUCUUGUUGCCAUGCAAAAUCGGCAUAUACGCCCAUGACUAAAGUUUCUAGAAAAGCCUGCAACAGCGUGAGAUGCGAGGUUGUCGCCUGAGAUGGUGGCAAUAGAGCCAAAAAAUCGCUUUGACUCUCCGCAGCAUUCUAACAAAACUCCCUCUGUCUCGAGGAGCUUAACAUCAUCUAUGAGAGGCCUGAAUAUGUGUCUUUAUGGAUAAAUUUGUGUUUUACCAAGAUGGAAAGGUAGAUGUGCUCAACUUUGGAUAUAUAACGAUGGUGAAGAUUUCCUAAUUUGAAAUACACAGCAGUUAGUUUGUGCUUUCCUCUCUUUGCUCCAAGGGGAUUGACAAUCUCAAAUUCAUCAACACUGAAAAAAAUGAUUUUGACAUGUAGUAAUUUUUCCCUAAAUGAAACUGUAUUUAUAUACUCAAUUUGUUUGUGUUUUGCAAAAACUCAUUUCAGAUAAGUAAUAUUUGCAAGAAAAAAAUUUGUUUGUGUUUUAGAAAAAACUAAUUUCAGUUAAGUAAUAUCUGCAAGAAAAAAAGGGGUUUUGCUUCAGAGGCGGUACUGCGCAUGCGUUUAUAUGGCUGCCAAAAGACGAUUGUCCUCCAUUUUGCAAACGGUUCCGUUGGCUUGAAGAGAUCUGCACUUGAAACCUUCGGUUUUGACUUUUAACGACAGAGACUGUACAUCUGAGGAGGGAGGCAGCCAUCAAGACCCUGUGCCUUUAUUUUGGUGAAGAUGAUGAUUCUCUCAUACAUGUACAUGGAUAUCCAUGGCAAGGAGGUGUCAAGAGAAAACCACCCCUUGGAACAUGAGGACAUCGGCAUCGUUGUGGAUGGAGGCAUCAUUUUGGAGGAACCUGGUCUGUUGCACAAGGCUGUGCAGUGAAGCCAGAGACUUUCUAAUGAGGAGACACAGCACUCAAAAAAUCCUCCAUAGAAAUGCAUGGGGUUAGUUAGU